GACGAACGCUGGCGGCGUGCUUAACACAUGCAAGUCGAACGGAGAGGCCCUGCUUUUGUGGGGUGCUCGAGUUGCGAACGGGUCAGUAACACGUGAGUAACCUGACCUUCCCCCUGGGAUAACUUCAGGAAACUGGGGCUAAUCCAGGAUAGGAUCUUCUGCUGCUUGGGGGGGGUUGGACUGUUUCGGCGGUUGGUGCUGGACUCGCGGCGUACCAGCUUGUUGGUCGGGUAGUUGCUUACAAAGGCUUUGACGGGUAGCCGGCCUGAGAGGGUGACCGGCCACGUUGGGACUGAGAUGCGGGGCAGACUCGUGCGGUAGGCAACAGUGGGGGAAAGUGCGCUGUGGGCGGGCGGCGGAUGCGGUAGCGCCGCGUGGGGUGUGACGGCCUUCGGGUUGUAAACCGCGUUUGCCUGUGAUGUGGGGUGGUUGACGGUAAUUGGUAAAGAAGCACCGGCUAACUACGUG
Molecule: ribosomal RNA, 468 nt
Filed under: uncultured bacterium
Lineage: Bacteria
Description: partial 16S ribosomal RNA
Rfam family: Bacterial small subunit ribosomal RNA
Source: RNAcentral